AGUGAACGCUGGCGGUAGGCCUAACACAUGCAAGUCGAACGGCAGCACAGUAAGAGCUUGCUCUUACGGGUGGCGAGUGGCGGACGGGUGAGGAAUACAUCGGAAUCUACUUUUUCGUGGGGGAUAACGUAGGGAAACUUACGCUAAUACCGCAUACGACCUACGGGUGAAAGCAUGGGAUCUUCGGACCUUGCGCGAUUGAAUUAGCCGAUGUCGGAUUAGCUAGUUGGCGGGGUAAAGGCCCACCAAGGCGACGAUCCGUAGCUGGUCUGAGAGGAUGAUCAGCCACACUGGAACUGAGACACGGUCCAGACUCCUACGGGAGGCAGCAGUGGGGAAUAUUGGACAAUGGGCGCAAGCCUGAUCCAGCCAUACCGCGUGGGUGAAGAAGGCCUUCGGGUUGUAAAGCCCUUUUGUUGGGAAAGAAAAGCAGCAGGUUAAUACCCCGCUGUUCUGACGGUACCCAAAGAAUAAGCACCGGCUAACUUCGUG
RNAcentral lists this ribosomal RNA (492 nucleotides) under uncultured bacterium. RNAcentral describes it as "partial 16S ribosomal RNA". It matches the Rfam family "Bacterial small subunit ribosomal RNA", at positions 29 to 507 of the family's 1533-position model. The record is from RNAcentral.